UCCUCCCUCUUUCUUCGUGCUUAACACAUGCAAGUCGAACGGAAAGGCCCUGCUUGCAGGGUGCUCGAGUGGCGAACGGGUGAGUAACACGUGGGUGAUCUGCCCCUUACUUUUGGAUAAGCCUGGGAAACUGGGUCUAAUACUGGAUAGGACCAUGCUGUAGGUGGUGUGGUGGAAAGAUUAGUUUCGGUAAGGGAUGAGCUCGCGGCCUAUCAGCUUGUUGGUGGGGUAAUGGCCUACCAAGGCGUCGACGGGUAGCCGGCCUGAGAGGGUGGACGGCCACAUUGGGACUGAGAUACGGCCCAGACUCCUACGGGAGGCAGCAGUGGGGAAUAUUGCACAAUGGGCGCAAGCCUGAUGCAGCGACGCCGCGUGGGGGAUGACGGCCUUCGGGUUGUAAACUCCUUUCAGCCAUGACGAAGCCCUUGUGGUGACGGUAGUGGUAGAAGAAGCACCGGCUAACUACGUG
RNAcentral lists this ribosomal RNA (469 nucleotides) under uncultured bacterium. Its description in RNAcentral is "partial 16S ribosomal RNA". It matches the Rfam family "Bacterial small subunit ribosomal RNA", at positions 36 to 507 of the family's 1533-position model. The record is from RNAcentral.